GGUAAUACUAAAUUAUCAUCGGUAAAUCGCAAUAAACGGAAGGCCAUAACUUAUCACGAUUCCCAUAUAUUUGUUUCAUUGAUUAAUUUCCUACUAAAAUUAUAUAUACCCUUGAUUGGUUAUUACUAAUGUACUAAUUCUUAUUUUCUAGAAACUUCGAACCUAUUCAUUUUCAAUCAUGUCAGUACAAAAACAUCGAAGGUAAUAAAUAUUACAACCUGGUCCAUAGAACACCUAGCGACAACUUGAUGUCAUUGCCCCUCCCUUCCUGGAGCCAUGCAAACUUUUUAUAGUAGACAGUCAGAAAUUCGUCGUGCUAAGGCCCCGUCAUUGAUGAAGAGACGUAGAUCAAAAGGAUCAAAGCUGAUAAGACACAAAGAAAGACAAAUCAAGACCGGAUCUAAACAAAUCCAUCAUAAUCCAGCACCAACUGAAUCUCAUGAUAUCCGACGAAGACACGCAUCCGCACGCCUUUUGACAAUGCUAGACACACCAACAAGAAGCGAUAGAACUAGAAAGACAUUAUUCCUAUAGAGGGACGCAGCCGACGCCAAACAACCCCAACCAAGACGUCGAAACUAACAAGAAGGCCUUGAUUAGUUAUUACAUUAUAUAUAGCAAUAAACGGAAG
This 631-nucleotide long non-coding RNA is filed under the name Hordeum vulgare. RNAcentral's name for it is "long non-coding RNA (HVUL_LNC021267)". The record is from RNAcentral. Lineage: Eukaryota; Viridiplantae; Streptophyta; Magnoliopsida; Poales; Poaceae.